AACGAACGCUGGCGGCAUGCCUAACACAUGCAAGUCGAACGAGACCUUCGGGUCUAGUGGCGCACGGGUGCGUAACGCGUGGGAACCUGCCCUUAGGUUCGGAAUAACUCCCCGACAGGGGUGCUAAUACCGGAUAAUGUCUUCGGACCAAAGAUUUAUCGCCUUUGGAUGGGCCCGCGUUGGAUUAGCUAGUUGGUAGGGUAAAAGCCUACCAAGGCGACGAUCCAUAGCUGGGUUGAGAGGAUGAUCAGCCACACUGGGACUGAGACACGGCCCAGACUCCUACGGGAGGCAGCAGUGGGGAAUAUUGGACAAUGGGCGAAAGCCUGAUCCAGCAAUGCCGCGUGAGCGAUGAAGGCCUUAGGGUUGUAAAGCGCUUUUACCCGGGAUGAUAAUGACAGUACCGGGAGAAUAAGCUCCGGCUAACUCCGUG
Molecule: ribosomal RNA, 433 nt
Filed under: uncultured bacterium
Lineage: Bacteria
Description: partial 16S ribosomal RNA
Rfam family: Bacterial small subunit ribosomal RNA
Source: RNAcentral